This is a long non-coding RNA of Strongylocentrotus purpuratus (purple sea urchin), 618 nucleotides long. RefSeq lists it as uncharacterized. The record is from RefSeq and is a predicted model, not a curated record. Lineage: Eukaryota; Metazoa; Echinodermata; Echinoidea; Camarodonta; Strongylocentrotidae. The transcript has 3 exons.
AACGAGGACUUGAACCUAAGAAAAGGGUUAAGAAAGGAACUGGAAAACAUAUUCACUGCCCUGUGUUUGUAUGCAAUCCAAGUCAACCAAUUAAACAUGAUGAUACGCUGGACUUUAUCCGACAAUUUUCUGACAAAGUUAAUGAUCACUUUGGUCGUAACGCAAUGGUUGUCGUCACUCAUAAAGGGAAACUGGAUGACUCUGCAGAAGCAGAUGGAAGCUUGGAUGAUGUAGUGUUUAAGAUUAAAGAUCGAGGUAGUGUUCCUAAGAAUUACAUAUAUACAUUUGAAAACUAUACUGAAGAUUGCCACGUUCACGAUGCAAAGAAAAGUAUUGAAUACUUGAAGUUUCUGUCCGCGUGCUUGGACUUAGGAGAAAGGAAUAUCAGAUUUAAGUUGGAAAAAGCAGGUGAGCGUAAUUGAAAGGUCAAUCACUUUUAGACUGCAUGUUCUAAUAACGGAAGGUCCAAACACAAUUCGUUUAAGGAUCGCAGAUGUAUGCAGAUUGCACACUAUAUUUGGAGUAUAGAUCAUUAAUAAGAUAUCAAGCAUUAUUUUCAAUUUCGGAGGACAGAUCAACGUGAAGAAUAAGCUUGAUUAUAAGUAUUAUUAUACUUUU